Molecule: ribosomal RNA, 525 nt
Filed under: Grausa martini
Lineage: Eukaryota; Viridiplantae; Streptophyta; Magnoliopsida; Cornales; Loasaceae
Description: eukaryotic LSU rRNA
Rfam family: 5.8S ribosomal RNA (bases 129-284)
Source: RNAcentral
AGGCGGGGCUCGGCGAAACAACGAACCCCGGCGCCGUCGCGGCGCCAAGGAAAACCAACGGGACGGACCCCGGCGCGCCCCGUCCGCGGGCGCGCGCCAGGGACCGCUUCGAAAAUCACGAACUUAACGACUCUCGGCAACGGAUAUCUCGGCUCUCGCAUCGAUGAAGAACGUAGCGAAAUGCGAUACUUGGUGUGAAUUGCAGAAUCCCGUGAACCAUCGAGUCUUUGAACGCAAGUUGCGCCCGAAGCCAUUAGGCCGAGGGCACGUCUGCCUGGGCGUCACGCAACGCGUCGCCCCUCGCCCCCUCGCGGGGCGGGGGCGGAGGAUGGCCCCCCGCGCCCUGACCGGCGCGGCCGGCCCAAACCCGGAAUCGCCCCGACGGCGGGUCGUCGCGACAGGUGGUGGCGUCUCACGAUAUCAUCCGGCCCUGGCGCGCGAGAACCCGUCCCGAGACGAUCGGACCCAAGGCUGCUGCCCUCCCGAGCCUCGUCUCGGGGGGAGAGGAGCAUCGACCGCGACCCC